Molecule: long non-coding RNA, 2647 nt
Organism: Alexandromys fortis (reed vole)
Lineage: Eukaryota; Metazoa; Chordata; Mammalia; Rodentia; Cricetidae
Exons: 3
Source: RefSeq, a predicted model, not a curated record
UCUAUAAGUACUCCAAGUUAAACAUUCAAAUCUAAAGUUCUGAAGCUGGGAUCCAGAGAUGAGAAAGGACACGAAACGCUUGCCUCUCUAAGCCCGAGUGACCUCACUCAGAGUAGUUUUUCCCAUUUAAUCCAUUUACUUGCAAAUCUCACAAUUUCAUUUUUCUUCACAGAUGAAUGAAGAUCCUCUGUGUAUAUGUGUAUCAUACUUUCAUUAUCCAUUUGAUCAGCUGAUGGGCCUCUAGACUGAAUCUAUUUCCUGGCUAGCGUGACUAGAGCAGCAAUGAUAAGAGGGUUCUUGAGGAUCUUCUCAUCUUUUUAGUAUUUGCAGGUACUUCCAGGAACCACUGACUCUGAACGUGAACCACAUACACAUCUUCACCAAAGGACCUAACCCUCUAAUCUGUGCACCCAGCGCCUGCUGCUUUAGAAGACACAAGAAGAGCCACAAGACUGCCUGGGAUUCUUCUCCAUCAGGAAGGUCUUUACCUCUAUUUUUGUUUCAGAACCACCCACCUAGUUGAGGCUUUCUUCCUCAAGGAAGGCAUUUAAUACCAGAGUUCUCACCCACUCCAGAGUGGGAAAGAAGAGGACACUGGCAGUAGAAGCUAUCAGGCAGAAUGGAAUAUUUUCACCCGCUGGCCGACUCUGUUCUUCCACUAUUGUCUCUGCACCAGGAAAGACUGGCGUUUCAGAAGUCAAAAAGUAGUGCAUAGUCUCUGCAAUGGUGGAGGAGAGAAUGCCUUUACAAGAAGAUGAAACCCACAGCUUUAUUCAUCUGGAACCAUGGCGGGGGAGGUGAGCAGAGAGCAAUGCCAGCUUCAAGUCAUCCCAGUCACACACAAAGCCUGCCAGUGGGCAUGACCCUGUCCCAGGGGGGAUCUGGAAUCCAAGAGGGAAAGGAAUAGGUAUUACUGUUCAAAUUCUGCCAGUUCUGGCUUGUUCACAUGCCAGUUCUGGCUUGGCCACAUGACUUUUGAGUCUGUGUUACAAUAAUUUCGGAGUGGCUUUUAGUAGUGGAGUUAUUAUUAUUUUUUCUUUGUUUGGUUUGGUUUGGCCUGAAACCCAGAGAUCUGCCUGCCUCUGCUGAAAUUAAAGGCAUAUCCCACCAUGGCCAGGUCAGUAGGGAAAUUCUUUUACUUUUAUUUGUAUCACCUGUACAGAGGUCAGGGUCAGAAGAGACCAGGGACAAAUGGCUAACUGAGGUGUCUAUUUACAUAUCAAAUCAGUGCUGGCCAGGCCAGUUCUCCCAUUUUCCCUGGAUAUCUCUGGCUCCUCCCAGCACUUCUUACCUGCCCCUUAGCCCUAAACCUCCCGAACCCAGGGGCUGGGCUUCCCUUCUCUUCCCCAAACUCCUGAUCACUAUAUAACUCAGCCACUUUGGUUACUCACUUUUGGUUCCCAUGUGCUAUCUUGGCUCUUGACUCUACUCUUGACUCUUGCCCCCCCUACUUCUGUUCCUCUUUGGCUCUACCCCCAUUUCUCUCCUUUCAUGGUCUACUUCAGUCUGGACUCUUUCAGAGACCCCUCCCUCAUAUCUACAUAACCAGAUGUCAUAUCCUCAUUUUCAGUCAGAAGACAAUUUGUGGAAGUCAGUUCUCUCCUUCCACCUUGUGAGGCCUUGGAGAUCAAACUCAGGUUCUUGGGCUUGAAGGCAAGAACCUUUGCCCUCUGAGCCAUUUUGUCUACCCAGUCUGUAGAAUUUUAGAAAGAUGUUUCAGAGCAAUCUACUAGGAUCUGCCUGGUGGUAGUAAGAGCCGGCUUUUCCCCAGUACUUCUGUCUCAAAGCAAAGACCAUUCUAAGCACUGUCCUGCUAGUCAGCCAAAUGGACAGACGGGAGUGAGUGCAGCUACCAAGACACAGCAGCCGACCCUUUGACAGACAUUCCCAAGAAAGGCAGUCUGCUCUAGAGCCAAGGCCAAGUCUCUUUAUGUAACCCCAACUGUUCCAUAAUCCUCCUGUCCUAGACUCCCAAAUGAUGAGAUUACAGGUGUGUGUCACCUUGUCCAGCUCUCCCUCUCUCUCUCUUAAAUCAUGGCCUUUGAUAAUACCAAGCCUGAAUUUAUCCAUAGUGAGGAUUGACUGGGACUAAGACAUGACAUUGUCUUGGUUCCACAAUUUAUAGCAUAUGAAUAUACUUUUGUACCUAGGGCCAUUUAAUCUUGGUCCUCUGCUCAGUGUGCUCUAGGUCUCUUUCAACCCCAAAACACUCCCAGGGGAAGAAAUAAUAGACACCUCUCCAGAAAAGCCCAAAGGGUCUCCCCAUGUAACCCCUGUUGUAAGGGAGGCAGCACAGGGGAGGUUCCCUAGAGAGAAAAGUGUUUCUAGAAGUGCCCAGAUGGUGGAGAAGGUUCUGGAUUCAGUAAUAGCACAGAAGUGGCUUGUUGCGGGAGGUCCUUCUGCCCCUCCAACCAAUAGCUGCUGUGAUACCAGCCCAUUGGGGCGUGGUCUCUCUCCCUUUAAAAAAGCGGCUAUUUCCUCUGCUCGCUCUCUUCACUUCCUGCUCCGCCGGAGACUAGACUCCCUUCCUGGUUGUGCAGAUGGCUGUUGUCUGGGACGGUGAUCUGUAAGUUUUCCCCUUUAAAUAAAUAACACCCUAUUAAUCAUAACUCCAAACUGGUGUGGCCUUGUUCGUGACUUACGCCUU